CCUACGGGAGGCAGCAGUGAGGAAUAUUGGUCAAUGGACGAGAGUCUGAACCAGCCAAGUAGCGUGAAGGAUGACUGCCCUAUGGGUUGUAAACUUCUUUUAUAAAGGAAUAAAACGAGGCACGUGUGCCUUUUUGCAUGUACUUUAUGAAUAAGGAUCGGCUACCUCCGUGCCAGCAGCCGCGGUAAUACGGAGGAUCCGAGCGUUAUCCGGAUUUAUUGGGUUUAAAGGGAGCGUAGAUGGGUUGUUAAGUCAGUUGUGAAAGUUUGCGGCUCAACCGUAAAAUUGCAAUUGAUACUGGCAGUCGUGAGUACAGUUGAGGUAGGCGGAAUUCGUGGUGUAGCGGUGAAAUGCUUAGAUAUCACGAAGAACCCCGAUUGCGAAGGCAGCUUACUAAACUGUGACUGACAUUGAUGCUCGAAAGUGUGGGUAUCAAACAGGAUUAGAUACCCCGGUAGUC
This 460-nucleotide ribosomal RNA is filed under the name uncultured bacterium. RNAcentral's name for it is "partial 16S ribosomal RNA". It matches the Rfam family "Bacterial small subunit ribosomal RNA", at positions 338 to 795 of the family's 1533-position model. The record is from RNAcentral.